GACGAACGCUGGCGGCGUGCUUAACACAUGCAAGUCGAACGGUCAGAGAAGAGCUUGCUCUUCUGGAUCAGUGGCGAACGGGUGAGUAACACGUGAGUAACCUGCCCCAGACUCUGUAAUAAGCGCUGGAAACGGCGUCUAAUACCGGAUACGAUACAGAGCUGCAUGGCUACUGUCUGGAAAGGUUUUCGGUCUGGGAUGGACUCGCUGCCUAUCAGCUUGUUUGUGAGGUAACGGCUCACCAAGGCAACGACGGGUAGCCCGCCUGAGAGGGCGACCGGCCACCCUGGGACUGAGACACGGCCCAGAAUCCUACGGGCGGCAGCAGUCGGGAAUCUUGCACAAUGGCGGCAAGCCUGAUGCGGCGACGCCGCGUGAGGGAUACUGGCUUACGGGUUGUAAACAAAUUUCUGCAGGGAUGAAGCGAUCGUGACGGUACCUGAACAAGAAGCCCCGGCUAACUACGUG
This 468-nucleotide ribosomal RNA is filed under the name uncultured bacterium. RNAcentral's name for it is "partial 16S ribosomal RNA". It matches the Rfam family "Bacterial small subunit ribosomal RNA", at positions 28 to 507 of the family's 1533-position model. The record is from RNAcentral.